This is a long non-coding RNA of Phyllopteryx taeniolatus (common seadragon), 1570 nucleotides long. RefSeq lists it as uncharacterized. The record is from RefSeq and is a predicted model, not a curated record. NCBI's taxonomy places the organism in Eukaryota, Metazoa, Chordata, Actinopteri, Syngnathiformes, Syngnathidae. The transcript is spliced from 3 exons.
GUACCAACCAGGUCUCUCUGCUGCUGGUGUCUCCUCUGAGCUCUUUUGGGAUUCAUCUCCAGUGUUGCGAACUUGGACGUUCCCUCCUGAGGAACCACAUCAUCACACAAACGGAUCAUUUCGCAUUGUCCGCAUACAUGUCCUGCCACCCGAGGGGCGCGGGUUUGAUGCUGCAGGGAACCUCACCUUCACCAGCAGCUCCCGGCUGAGCGAGUAGUUGUUGUCAUCUGAGAAGAUCUCGGAAAGCUCGCGGAAAGUCCGGAAACUCUCCCUGUGAUUACACAACGGGUUUAAAAGCGGUGGACGGCGUUGCACUGCAGGGCGGAGAGGAUGGCUCGCAAGGAUGAGAAGUUCUUCAGGAUACGACACUCCUGAAGGCAACACGGAGGAUGACGGCGUUAAUUCAAAUCUCAGCAAAGUGCUCGCACACCAACGCAACACUUUAAAUAUGGGUUAGGAUUUUGAAUUAUGGUUUGAAGGCUAGGUUAAAGUUAGGCAAGGUUUUCAAAUAGGAUUUUGAACAGGGGUUAGGGUUUGAAAUUAGGGAUAGGGUUUGAAGCUUAGGUAAGAAUUCCAAGUUUAGGUUAGGUUUUCAAACAAUUGUUAUGGUUUUAAAGUAGGGUUUCAAGCCAAGUUUAGGGUUUCAAGUUGGGUUUCAAACAAGGGUUAGGGUUCCUAGCCAGUGUUGGGGUUUAAAAAUAGAGUUUGAAUCCCGGGUUAGGGUUUCAAACAAGGGUUAAGGUUUGAAAUUAGUAUUUCAAACAAGGGUGAAGGUUUCUAAUUAAGGUGGUCAGGCAAGGUUUAGGUUUCCAAGCCAGCGUUUAGGGUUUUGAAUUAGGGUUUAAAGCCUGGGUUAGUGUUUCAAUCCCAGGUUAGGGUUUUUAAAAAGGGUUUGGGUUUUAGAUUAAGGGUUUCAAGCCUGUUUCAAAGUUGUAGUGGCAUUCAGGUUUCAAAUUAGGGUUUUAACUUUCAAGCCUGUGCUAACAAUGGUUUGGACUUCAAAUUAGGCUUUCAAGCCUGUGUUAGGGUUUUAAACAAGGGUUUGGGUUUCCAAUUAGGGUUUUAACUUUCAAGCCCGUGCUAGGGUUUUAAACAAUGGUUUGCACUUCAAAUUAGGCUUUCAAGCCUGUGUUAGGGUUUUAAACAAGGGUUUGGGUUUCCAAUUAGGGUUUCAAGUCAGGGUUAGGGUUUUAAAUUUGGGUUAAAACCCAGGGUUAGGGUUUCUAGGCAGUGUUGGGGUUUCAAGUUCAGGUUUCAAACCUGGGUUACGGUUUCAAAUUAUGGUUUCAAACAAGGGCUUAAGGUUACGAGUCUGCGUUAGGGUUUCAAACAGGUUUAAAUAUAUUGUCUUAAUCAUGGGUUAGGGUUGCAAAUUGAGGUUUUUAACAUGGAUUUGGGUUUUAAAGCAGGGUUAGGGUAUCAGUUUAAGGUUUCAAGCCAGUGCAAGAGUUUCAAGUCUGGAUUUCAAGUUAGAGUUUCAACCCUGUGGUAGGGUUGUAAACAAGGCUUAGUGUUUCAAAGAAGGGUUUUAUGCCUGCGGUUAGGUUUUCAAGGCUGUAUUAUGGUUUCA